Molecule: ribosomal RNA, 440 nt
Filed under: uncultured bacterium
Lineage: Bacteria
Description: partial 16S ribosomal RNA
Rfam family: Bacterial small subunit ribosomal RNA
Source: RNAcentral
CCUACGGGGGGCAGCAGUGGGGGAUAUUGCACAAUGGGGGAAACCCUGAUGCAGCGACGCCGCGUGUGGGAAGACGGUCCUCUGGAUUGUAAACCACUGUCCCCAGGGACGAAGAUGACGGUACCUGGGGAGGAAGCUCCGGCUAACUACGUGCCAGCAGCCGCGGGAAUACGUAGGGAGCGAGCGUUGUCCGGAAUUACUGGGUGUAAAGGGAGCGUAGGCGGGACUGCAAGUUGGGUGUCAAAUCUACCGGCUCAACCGGUAGCCGCACUUAAAACUGGAGUUCUAGAGUGAAGUAGAGGCAGGCGGAAUGCGUAGUGUAGCGGUGAAAUGCGUAGAUAUUAGGAGGAACACCAGUGGCGAAGGCGGCCUGCUGGGCUUUUACUGACGCUGAGGCUCGAAAGUGUGGGGAGCGAACAGGAUUAGAUACCCGAGUAGUC